GUAAUUAAUAUCGUAUUUCAGGUGGUGGCGAGGAAAUUGGAAACGUUUAUCAACCAAUCUAACUUGUAGCUCCUACCUUGUGAGUGGAUAAAACUUAUUUUUCAGAAAUAAGUCUUCUUUAAAUUUUAAAGUUAUUUAUUUUAUAAAGUUUACUUCAUAGCAUGAUUUUCACAAUAAAAUGGAUUUUAUUAUCAAUUGCUUUUAAAGUUAAAUUCAGUUCAGUUAAAUUAUUCUAGUAGCAUGUUAUAUUCUUAUUACAUGUUUCAGUAUAGUUAAAGUUAUUUCUAAAAAUCACCAGAAAGUACCCAUUUAAUUUUACCCCAGUUUGCACUGAUGUGAAUGUGUUUCCACAGUGUAUGACUAAUUAUGGUGAUUUUACUUGCUCUGCACUAUUGUGAAUGUAUUUUCAUAGUGUAUGACCAGAUUAUCAGAGGUCUUUGGGACCCACUCUCGUACACACAUAGGCUUUUACCCCAGUUUACACUGAUGUGAAUGUAUUUCCACAGUGUAUGACUAAUUAUGGUGAUUUUACUCGCUCUGCACUAUUGUGAAUGUGUUUCCAUAGUGUAUGACCAGAUUAUCAGAGGUCUUUGGGACCCACUCUCGUACACACAUAGGCUUUGGGCCGUGUACUAGGGUGAUUAGCCUUUGGGGCAGCUCUGCGUACGUAUGACCAGAUUAUCAGAUUUGAAUGGCUUUACUUUGUACAUCGAGAUUACUCUGUACAUGUGUAAGACUAUUCAUUGGGUACUCUUUAUGGUGUGAUUUUUCAGUAUUUAUUCAGUUCUCAGAUUUCAGAUUAUGGAAGUCAGUUAAUUCAGUUUUCAGAAUAAAGCUUUUAGCUUUUACUAUUGAGCAGCAGCAAUAUUUCAUAUAUUUUCAUGAAUAUCAAAUUCUUUAUAUUUGCUAUUCUCACAGAUACUUAUCUAGAAUUUAGAAUAAAGAAUUUUAUAAUAAAAUCAUGUUUAGUUUUUAAAAGUAUUACUAGAUUCAGAAAUUCUCAAGGAUUUAAUAAAUUUAAAAUUUUUAGAAAAUAUGCAUAAAUAGAAAAAGUUUACUUAUUUGCAAAUCAUCCACUCACUGAGUUACAAACUCAUAUUUUUGUCAUGUUUUUCCUAUCAGGAGACCGUUGAUUUUUGAGAUACUGGGAAAAGUCUGCUGAAGCCAAAGAGACAGUUUCAUAGUAUGUAAUGUAUAGUUGGAGAACUCAUGUUUAUUAAGUACUUGUCUAAUAUUUGGUGUGUCAUGCACUUCGUAGAAAGGUUGGUAAUUGAUGUAAUGCUUGCAUGUUGACAUGAUGAUGUUGUAGAAGCACUCAGUCGAAUUUUGUUAUAUUUUGUAGUAGUUGUGGUGGUAUUAGAGGAAGUGGUGGUUUUCAAAACUUUUGGUUUAAAUGUCUAUUUGAGAUUUUGAUGAUUUUUCAGGUUGGUUUUGUCAAUGUUACAGGGGGAACUCUGUCAAAAUUUUUAUAGAAUUAUAUCAUGGUCAAGUAGGUCACGUUUGCCUUGGUGGUGGGUCCGACAUUUAGCUGGCAUCUACCAUCGGC
RNAcentral lists this long non-coding RNA (1546 nucleotides) under Olea europaea subsp. europaea. Lineage: Eukaryota; Viridiplantae; Streptophyta; Magnoliopsida; Lamiales; Oleaceae. The record is from RNAcentral.